GAUACUGUAAAUUGAGGAGUAGAGCUGGAUCCAUGCUGGUUUUGUGUAUUAUCUCGAAUUAUUUUUGAAUUGUUUUAGUCAUUGCAUGGCAGGACGACGGAGAAUACAAACGUUACAUAUCAGUUAAGAACUUAAGUUACAAGAAUGAGUAACUUUAAGGGUGUGAACUACGACAGCCCUUGUGAUACUGAUGACGAUUGGACAGAUUCAUCUGACGAUUCGAAAUAUUCUGAUUCCGCAAGUUCUGUACCAGAAUGGGACUCUGAUGUUGAAGAGAAUGGUGAACUGGUAUUUAUAAGAAUUAAAAGAAGAAAAGAAAAAUGUAAUGAAAAUAAACCACCAUUGUUAGAGAACUGUGAAACAUUUAAACUGAGAAAUAAUUUUAAAAGAACCUCAACUAGGCGAUCGACAAAAGGUAAAAUCUUUAAAGUAUUAAAGGGACAAAGCUCAAAAAAUAAAGCACAAAGCAAGAAGAAAGACUUAGAGAAUAUUAGAGCCACAAGUACUGCUACUUUAAACACAAAUGAACUGACAGAAAAUUCUAAAGAAUCUGUAAUAAUUCAGGUAAGCAGGAAUAUGAUUUUCAGCAGUGAAAAGAAUUGUCAAAUAGAAAAGUUGUUUGGUAUUAGUUUGGAAACCCAUUCUGAUGGAAAAUCUUUGAUUGUUGCUGAUUUUUUAACAGAAGCAAUGCCUAUUUAUGGAUCUAAAGUGAAAAAAGGUUACUACUUUACAAAAGUCAAUGGCAUUGAAGUAAAUUCUUAUAAUAUAAAUAACAUCCUCCAAAGAGUUUAUGAGGAACCCAAUAAUCCAAAACUACAGUUUCAAAUGCCUGAGGAGAGCUCUUUAAUAUCAUUAGAACGACUUCUGAAAUCAAAGAAUUUACCAGAAAAUAAGUCAACACAAUUAUUAAAAGAUUUCUCAUGUUCUGUAUUAUACAUUUCCUGCAAUGAUAUAGAAAACACUAGAAAUGAUGAUAAAGGAGUAAUAUACUGUUAUCCAAGGCCUUUCAGUCAAAAUUUUCUGUACAACACAAGAGGUGCUUACCUAACAUUAAACCAUUUAGCACCAAAGUCAUUGGGAACUAGUGAGCCAACAUGUUCAACAGUUCUUCACAAUGACAACUUAAUUCAUGUGAAUUACACAUCCCAUUGUAACGAUUUGCUACUAAUAACAUUUCCAAAUAAAUACAUAGAUGCAUUUUCAUCCAAAAAAGUAAAUGCAGACAUAGUGAAACUAUUGGAAUUUUUGUAUGGAUCAUUGAAAACUUGCUUCACAAAACCUAACAAUGUUGACAGACUGGAUAGUUUAUUCUGUAGAAUUUUUGUUACUUUGCUAUUCAAUAAUGAGCAAGCAAGUGCUUCUGAUGUUCACUUUGAAGAUAUCUUAGCUGCAUAUUCUGUGACCUUGCCAUUAGAAGUAAGAGUGCAAGUUGAUGACGCCAUUACAGAAUUGGAAGCUGCUGAUUAUAGAGAAUGGACAGAUGAUUUUGAAAACUUUCAACGUCUCUACACAGUAAUAGGGUCAUGCCUGUAUUACUCUGGUCAUUUGUUAAGUUCUCAUUUACAAGAUGAAGACUUGAAAGAAAUAAAUGCUUUUUUAAAACUUAACGGAGUAUUGGCAUUAAGUACUGAUAAUGAACUGGAAAAACUUGUUAUGUGGAAGGAAGUUUUUAUUCACGAACAUAGAAAGCAAAGCAAAAAUGAUGGGCAGGACUACAGGAUACCCGAUGGGCGUUGGUUCUUACUCAUAGUUGGCAAGGGGCAUUUCAUUUUAGCUACAUUAAUGGAAGCCGGUGGAUGUACCGAAGACGCUGUUGGUGUUACACCCCCUUCGCCGUUUUACGUAGAAGAAUGCGAGAGCUGCCUCGAACUUUUCUAUGAAGUAAGUCUGGAUAAAUAUCUCGCUUCAUGGUUGUCAUCAAAUACACACCCACAGAUCGAAACAACUCCAGAACGUCUCACUAAAUACGGGAAGAAAAUGAAGGAAAUGAACUCCUUUAGAGCAGACACGCUAAGACCAACACUGAGAACAUCAAAAUCAUCAGCAGAUCUAAAGAAACGCCACAGUUCCUCUGAACAAAUAUACAUGGGGUCCAGUUUGAGUGAUAAUUCUAAUUACGGAAGCCAUCACAACCUUUACAGUCAAUGGUAUCAUGGCACGCAGAAGUACAGACACUCUAGUUUAGAUGUCAGCCAUUCAGAGGACUCGAACAGCCUCAAGAGUAACAGUGAAAUCAGCGACGAUAGAGUCCAAGGUAGAAGAGCGGAUAGAGAACAAAGAAACCGUAGAGAUUCUUCGGGAUCCGAUUCCGAUUGGGACAGACAGGAAAAGCAUGUGUUGACGCUGCUACAAAAUAUUUUAAUUCAUUUAUGCUCUGGAAGAUGGUAGCAGAGCCAGCGGCAGCAUCGACAUGACCGACAUCAGAAAGUCUUUACUGAACGAAAUUAAUCGGGUAACUGUUCACCGUAUCACAACGGGCGAAGAAAAC
RNAcentral lists this unclassified non-coding RNA (2488 nucleotides) under Bombyx mandarina (wild silkworm). RNAcentral describes it as "protein inturned, transcript variant X2". Lineage: Eukaryota; Metazoa; Arthropoda; Insecta; Lepidoptera; Bombycidae. The record is from RNAcentral.